This 4574-nucleotide long non-coding RNA is filed under the name Nicotiana tabacum (common tobacco). RNAcentral's name for it is "long non-coding RNA (NTAB_LNC006599)". Lineage: Eukaryota; Viridiplantae; Streptophyta; Magnoliopsida; Solanales; Solanaceae. The record is from RNAcentral.
AGUCCAGCUCUGCUCCACAACUUCUCUAACUCUGCGGUUGUAAUCCCUUUUAUUCUCACUGAACAUCCGAGCUGCUUCCGAAUUUGCAGGUGAAUUGGGGUUAGGAUCACACAGCAAUGACUGCAACAAUAAGAGUGUCAGUCAUUCGCAAACAAGAAACCCAUGGUUUAAUUUUUUAAUUUUUUGUAACUCUUCUAUUUUUCAAAUUUCUUUUAUUUGUGGCCAAGUACGAGAGAGCCAUAGUUUUAAUCAAGCUUUUAAUAUUCCACUGUAUGUAUGUCCCCAGUAGGAUAUACUAAACGGCUUAGCUUAACUCUCUUGACUCACUUUUUACGGAUUAUCAUCUUGCCCUCUCACCAACUUUGCUCUCUGAAAUGACCAUCCUAUGUGUAUAAUCCAGCACCACUACCACCCUGUCUCCUCUCCAUCUACCCAGCAAAGGAUAGUCCAAAUUAAUGAACAAAUUUCAAGCAAGAUCCUUAUAAGCAAAUUGAGGUCUACCAACAGCACUAUUUCCCUGCUGCAGUACAGCAGAGUUAAAAUGCUUAAAACUAAGGAGUGCAAAACCUUAAGUGCGUACUCUUCACUUAAGGUUAGGAAGCAAUAAUUGUUUGACACAGAGCUUCCAUCAAGAAUCUGGCAAAGUAGGAGGACAAUAUGCCUAGAGUCUUAAGGGUAUGCGUAUCAUCCACGUAAUAAAAAUUUCUACUUCUGCUUGGGGAUCUAUGCCUUGAACUGCGACUCCAAGUAAUCUCAGAGAGACAUAUGCACACACAAAUACAUUAAGAUAGGGAUCUAAUAUCAUUUUUACUCGGCCAAGAUAAACCUUUACCCUUGUCAACAUCCAAAUACACACAAGAAAUUGGUCACCUCAUUAAUGGAUGUACUUUUCAUGCAAUAUAUUCAAGCACCAACAUCGUACACGAUUCUAAGUUUUUUCUCUUCUUUUUUUGGGUGGGUCUUGAGUAGCGAGAGGAAUUCAUGUAAAGUUAAACACCAGUAGUUAUGGAUUGAGUAAACAUCUUCAUGCAGAAUAUUACUUGCACCUGAUAAUAAGUUGUACGAAAUUCACUUGCGAUCAUAGCUGUGAAUGACACAAAAUAUGAGCGUAAUAUCGAGUUAAGGUUAAACAAACAUACAGUUUCGCUCCAUGAUCCAGCAGCUGUGGCAAUCGACAAUUAAGCGUGAAGUACACAAUCUCUAAUUACCAUGUACUCUCAAUACCGGGAGACCUAAUAGAGAUGAGUUAUCACACCCCGUUAACUACGUAUUAAAGAAAGGAAAAUAUGCUUAGGGUUUUUCUUACAAUAACUAAAGAAGGGAAGUUGGUCUGUGUUUAUAGAGAAGCUUCAGGCCUAUAAUUAAUUGGGUCUCACUUAUCUACACACACAACUCAAUUAGAUGAUUAGGCUUUAUAUAUCUUAUUUACGACUUGGGUCAAGCCACUACCCUUUUCUGUCAACAAACCAAUCAAUGUACAGUCCAAUUCCAACAUUCUCCACUUGGACAUCGUUAUUGAAAGUAAGAACAAUAUUUGGAAAAAUUUAGAUUUAUGAAAAAUCAUUUUAGAAAAGAAACAAGACUUUAUAGCGACCAUGUUGCUAAUAUAAUCGGGGAUAGAAUGGCUCUAAUAAUUCAAGUUCCAAUUGAAAACACUAACAGUGAACCAUAGAAGACACUAUUUCAAGGUAUGAAUACUAUAUAUGAUCACAAAAAUUGCAAUUUCCAUCAACAUGAAUGGAUCAGGCAUGUUUACUAAGUAUAUUAUCCUUUCUAAUCAAGACGAAUAGAACAGCUCCUGGAAAGCUUUUAUUCUCCAAGUGACAUAGAAAACAUAUCAGCUCUAAGAGAUUUCUCUUAUGCCUAGAUAAUCAAGGUAACAAGCCACAAAACCCAACAUUACCAUGAGUUUAACAAUAGUUAAUCGGAGACAAUAAUGAAGCAUUACUCUCAGUAUAUACAUGACAAGCAUCAAUUAACACAAGAUUGAAUAUCAGGAAGGUGAUAUGCAUUAAACAACAACUGCAAGUCAUAUUCCAAUGACACUUCCCGAAUAGGCAAUUCAAGAUUUAAACUUGAUGGGUUCAACUUUUAAGGUUCUUAGCAUUGAACUCAUUACAACAACAACAACAACAACAACAACAACCCAGUAUAAUCUCACUAAUGGGGUCUGGGGAGGGUAGGUUGUUUCCGAUAGACCCUCGGCUCUCUCCCUCCAAAAACUCCCCACUUUGCUCUUGGGGUGAUUCGAACUCACAACCUCUUGGUUGGAAGUGGAGGAUGCCCACCACUAGAGCAACCCACUCUUGUCUUAGCAUUGAACUCAUUGUACUUCUAAAAACCAUGGAUUCAGAAUUUAAUAUUCGUUAAAAAAUUUAGUAGUUUUUCAUAUAAAUCUAUGCUCCGUAUAACAAAUAUUUGGUUCAAUGGAAGCCGUAGAUUACAACUCCAUCUGCCACUACUUUCCACUAACCAAAGACAUCAAAAGACUCAUAUUCUUAAGCAUGUUAUUUAAAAACUAUUAUUCCCUCCGUUCCAUUUGUAUGCGAAUGUGGUUGACUGGAAUUUUUGAAAUUAUAUAAAACUUUUGACACGUGAGCCAAAUAUAUGCAAAGUAGCAAAAGUAUUCUUUUAGACAAGUGGUGGUGAGAGUUCCAAAUGCCUUUUCAUUUUCUCUUUCCUGAAGGAAUGAACAAUGUAUAUCAAAUGAGCACCAAUAAGUCAUGUCAUCAGGGGAAAAACGGGAAUGCUACGAUUAAAUAGUCUCCAAAAAGAAAAGGAUGCCAUUCUGUCAGCGCUCUGUGCUACUCUUCAACGUCCCCUUUGGUUUUAAAUGCCUAUUUAUAAUCACUAAGGUAAAAUUUAAAAGAUAAAUCAACAAACUCCCAUACUCCAUGGAGCACUUCUGACCCUCCAUCUCUUCAUAUAAUUUUUCAGCUCAUAGAGAGACUCGUAAACUCCAAUGUAGACUAUGAAACAAGACUCUCAUUCUAUCUCCUCAAUGCAAACUAUUAUUAUUAUUAUUAUUAUUAUUAAAUUUUUUUUAUAUUAAUUUAUUAUAAACUCGGUACCAAGCUGGUACUAAAAGGAAGAAAAGAAAAAGAAAUCCUCAACGCCAGUUUUCAAUACAUGGAGAGCCUAAACUCCAUAUUGAUAACACAUGGAGCAGAAAAAGUACUUGACCAUGUGAUAAUGGAUAUUUGGACUAAUUAUUUUGUCUGAUUGAGCCUUUGGACAGUGGCCCACUAGAAAGGAAUUUUGGCAUUGGACAAAAGAAAAAGUUAGGUAAAUAAUUGUACAUUGGCCUGAUAGAUUUUAUAUAUAUACAUAGAGAGAGAGACACACAUUCACACAUUGGCUUCUGUUACAAGUGUUUUUCUAUUAUCAAAUUUUCCAGAAACUUUCUUUGACUAGACAGUGUUGUAGACAUUUCUAGACAAUCUAGAACUAUAAAACCUGCAGUUCUAGGUAAAUAUGCUUGAGAAACAAUCUAUGUGAUUUUUUUACCAAUUGCUUCAUCACCAUAUAUAAACAACAGAUCAGAGGGAAAAUGAGCAAUAUGGAAUGUAAAUGUAGCUAUGUAGCUCAAAAGUAAAACAAAGGGAAAUCAAGCUGUCACAAGGAUGAUGUCUCUGACUCUAUAGAAUCAAGCUACUGCUUGCAACUCAUAAUUCUCAUAACAUAGCGAUGGUUUCAACCAUCGGCUUUAACAGUAAAGCUCAGGGCAAAACAACUGUAUCCUUAUGCAACAAGACUUCUUGUUUGUUUUUUCCUAGACAUGGCUAACUGAAAAAAUGUGACAUCUAAAAAUCAAUUACCGCCCUAUACCUGAAUGGAUGUAAGUAUAGCUGCAACAUCAUAUAUUGGACUCCAUUGAUUUUGAAGAAUAUCCAAACAUAUACUUCCAUCUGCAUAAACUGGAAAAAACCAAAAGGUAAAUUCCAGACUUAAAAUUGACUUUCCCUAUUCUCUGAUUUAACAAAUAAAAAUUAAAUCUUCCACUCCAACUUACUGUUAGGAUGAAACAUGCGAGAAACAAACCGCACGGUUGGUGGCUUAUUGGGGUAAUCCUCAGAGAAUUGAAGUGUCAGCUUGAACGUACCUGAUGCUCUCAAAUGGUACAGUUACAAUCAAACUAGCUAAUUCAUGUCAGAACAAAGAGAAUUUUGAUAAAUAAAUACAAUUCAUAUUAUGUCGGAAAGAUGGAAAAAGUAACAAAAGCUACCGGAAAGCAUAGAGUAAUACACGACAAAAUAAAAGCAAAUGGAAAAGACAUGAGUGGGAAUGCUUGGAGCCUUGGACUGGGAGAACAAAGAAAGGAUUCAAGCAUUUACAACACUAGAAUACGUAUCACCUCCUUUGAUGAUUGAUGCCAUUUCAUCAGAAUUUUUCUUUCCGUCAUUGUGUCCGGGGAAGGGACAAGGAUUAAGAAAAGGAAACGGCUGAGAUGAUUAAAAAAACAUUGAAUUGUAUAGACAACUAAGCAUUAAACAGUAGACGUGCGCCAACUACUACGCUUUAACAUUCUUCUUCCAUUCUGCACUAACAACCGAAUGCAAGGAUAACUCACCACC